UACAGAGGGGGCUAGCGUUGUUCGGAUUUACUGGGCGUAAAGGGCGCGUAGGCGGCGUGUUAAGUCACUUGUGAAAUCUCUAAGCUUAACUUAGAACGGUCAAGUGAUACUGAUGUGCUAGAGUGCAGAAGGGGCAACCGGAAUUCUUGGUGUAGCGGUGAAAUGCGUAGAUAUCAAGAGGAACACCUGAGGUGAAGACGGGUUGCUGGGCUGACACUGACGCUGAGGCGCGAAGGCUAGGGUAGCAAACGGG
This 253-nucleotide ribosomal RNA is filed under the name uncultured bacterium. RNAcentral's name for it is "partial 16S ribosomal RNA". It matches the Rfam family "Bacterial small subunit ribosomal RNA", at positions 524 to 776 of the family's 1533-position model. The record is from RNAcentral.